UUAAAAGUAAGCUAAAUUAAGCUAAUGGGUCUAUACCCCAUCAACAGACAGUCUCUUUUAAA
RNAcentral lists this transfer RNA (62 nucleotides) under Anaulaciulus koreanus. RNAcentral's name for it is "tRNA-Met". The record is from RNAcentral. Lineage: Eukaryota; Metazoa; Arthropoda; Diplopoda; Julida; Julidae.